UAAGUUAACCGGAUGAUCGCAUCUUUUAUGAUGAGGAAAGUCCGAGCUCCACAGGAUAGGAUGCCGGGUAACACCCGGUGGAGGUAACUCCCAGGCUAGUGCCACAGAAAUAUACCGCUUUUUGAUGAAAGGGUUUUCUUGAAAUUCUUAUCAUUGGAAGUAAGGGUGAAAAGGUAAGGUAAGAGCUUACCGGGUUUCAGGUAACUGGAAUGCCAGGUAAACCCCAUCUGGAGUAAGUCCAAAUAGAGAGAAUAUAAAAGUGAUCCGCUUUUCUCCGGGUAAGGACGCUUGAGGGUUCAGGCAACUGUGCUCCCAGAUAGAUGAUCAUCUAAUACAGAACUCGGCUUAUAGGUUAACUUAUUUU
RNAcentral lists this RNase P RNA (364 nucleotides) under Halanaerobium kushneri. RNAcentral's name for it is "Bacterial RNase P class A". It matches the Rfam family "Bacterial RNase P class A". From Rfam's summary of the family: Ribonuclease P (RNase P) is a ubiquitous endoribonuclease, found in archaea, bacteria and eukarya as well as chloroplasts and mitochondria. Its best characterised activity is the generation of mature 5'-ends of tRNAs by cleaving the 5'-leader elements of precursor-tRNAs. Cellular RNase Ps are ribonucleoproteins. The record is from RNAcentral. Lineage: Bacteria; Bacillati; Bacillota; Clostridia; Halanaerobiales; Halanaerobiaceae. RNAcentral also lists the same sequence under 1 other name.